RNAcentral lists this ribosomal RNA (503 nucleotides) under uncultured bacterium. RNAcentral describes it as "partial 16S ribosomal RNA". It matches the Rfam family "Bacterial small subunit ribosomal RNA", at positions 30 to 523 of the family's 1533-position model. The record is from RNAcentral.
AUUGAACGCUGGCGGCAGGCUUAACACAUGCAAGUCGAGCGGGGUGAUGGUGCUUGCACUAUCACUCAGCGGCGGACGGGUGAGUAAUGCUUAGGAAUCUGCCUAUUAGUGGGGGACAACAUCUCGAAAGGGAUGCUAAUACCGCAUACGUCCUACGGGAGAAAGCAGGGGAUCACUUGUGACCUUGCGCUAAUAGAUGAGCCUAAGUCGGAUUAGCUAGUUGGUGGGGUAAAGGCCUACCAAGGCGACGAUCUGUAGCGGGUCGGAGAGGAUGAUCCGCCACACGGGGACUGAAACACGGCCCAGACUCCUACGGGAGGCAGCAGUGGGGAGUAUUGGACAAUGGGGGGAACCCUGAUCCAGCCAUGCCGCGUGUGUGAAGAAGGCCUUAUGGUUGUAAAGCACUUUAAGCGAGGAGGAGGCUCUUUUGGUUAAUACCCAAGAUGAGUGGACGUUACUCGCAGAAUAAGCACCGGCUAACUCUGUGCCAGCCGCCGCAGUAA